Molecule: long non-coding RNA, 310 nt
Filed under: Amborella trichopoda
Lineage: Eukaryota; Viridiplantae; Streptophyta; Magnoliopsida; Amborellales; Amborellaceae
Description: long non-coding RNA (ATRI_LNC004560)
Source: RNAcentral
AUGUGGCAGUCAAAACAUAUAUAUACAUCUCUUUUUAGGACAAAUUUACAAUGGCGAAUUUUUAAAAAGUAACAAAAGAAAGUUUAAGCACAACUUCAAUAUCUUCCCAAAGUUGAUCCUGACGAGCACUCAAAUGAAACCGCAGUUAUCCUGAAAAAUGUUUAUCAUAGUUUGAUGAGUUUGGCUACUCAGUAAGUGAUCAUCAUAAUCCUAAAAAUAAUCAUGAUUGAAAGAUAUCAAUAUUUUCCAAAAUGAGAUCUAUUAACAGAAAUGCAUCAACAGUUUCACUUUCAAUAAAUGCAUAAUUAAG